Molecule: ribosomal RNA, 465 nt
Filed under: uncultured bacterium
Lineage: Bacteria
Description: partial 16S ribosomal RNA
Rfam family: Bacterial small subunit ribosomal RNA
Source: RNAcentral
CUACGGGGUGCUGCAGUGGGGAAUAUUGGACAAUGGGGGAAACCCUGAUCCAGCAAUGCCGCGUGUGUGAAGAAGGCCUGCGGGUUGUAAAGCACUUUCGGUUGGGAGGACUGCUUCUAGCACUAAUAUUGUUGGAAGUUGACGUUACCUACAGAAGAAGCACCGGCUAGCUCCGUGCCAGCAGCCGCGGUAAUACGGAGGGUGCAAGCGUGAAUCGGAAUUACUGGGCGUAAAGCGCGCGUAGGCGGCUAGAUCAGUCGGGUGUGAAAGCCCCGGGCUUAACCUGGGAACUGCAUCCGAUACUGUCUAGCUUGAGUACAGGAGAGGAGAGUGGAAUUCCACAUGUAGCGGUGAAAUGCGUAGAUAUGUGGAGGAACACCAAUGGCGAAGGCAGCUCUCUGGCCUGAUACUGACGCUGAGGUGCGAAAGCGUGGGGAGCAAACAGGAUUAGAUACCCCCGUAGUC